AGUGAACGCUGGCGGUAGGCCUAACACAUGCAAGUCGAACGGCAGCACAGUAAGAGCUUGCUCUUACGGGUGGCGAGUGGCGGACGGGUGAGGAAUACAUCGGAAUCUACUUUUUCGUGGGGGAUAACGUAGGGAAACUUACGCUAAUACCGCAUACGACCUACGGGUGAAAGCAGGGGAUCUUCGGACCUUGCGCGAUUGAAUGAGCCGAUGUCGGAUUAGCUAGUUGGCGGGGUAAAGGCCCACCAAGGCGACGAUCCGUAGCUGGUCUGAGAGGAUGAUCAGCCACACUGGACCUGAGACACGGUCCAGACUCCUACGGGAGGCAGCAGUGGGGAAUAUUGGACAAUGGGUGCAAGCCUGAUCCAGCCAUACCGCGUGGGUGAAGAAGGCCUUCGGGUUGUAAAGCCCUUUUGUUGGGAAAGAAAAGCAGCAGGUUAAUACCCCGCUGUUCUGACGGUACCCAAAGAAUAAGCACCGGCUAACUUCGU
Molecule: ribosomal RNA, 491 nt
Filed under: uncultured bacterium
Lineage: Bacteria
Description: partial 16S ribosomal RNA
Rfam family: Bacterial small subunit ribosomal RNA
Source: RNAcentral